UGGGGAAUAUUGGACAAUGGGCGAAAGCCUGAUCCAGCCAUGCCGCGUGUGUGAAGAAGGUCUUCGGAUUGUAAAGCACUUUAAGUUGGGAGGAAGGGCAGUAAGCGAAUACCUUGCUGUUUUGACGUUACCGACAGAAUAAGCACCGGCUAACUCUGUGCCAGCAGCCGCGGUAAUACAGAGGGUGCAAGCGUUAAUCGGAAUUACUGGGCGUAAAGCGUGCGUAGGCGGCUGAUUAAGUCGGAUGUGAAAUCCCUGAGCUUAACUUAGGAAUUGCAUUCGAUACUGGUCAGCUAGAGUAUGGGAGAGGAUGGUAGAAUUCCAGGUGUAGCGGUGAAAUGCGUAGAGAUCUGGAGGAAUACCGAUGGCGAAGGCAGCCAUCUGGCCUAACACUGACGCUGAGGUACGAAAGCAUGGGGAGCAAACAGG
Molecule: ribosomal RNA, 429 nt
Filed under: Pseudomonadota bacterium
Lineage: Bacteria; Pseudomonadati; Pseudomonadota
Description: Proteobacteria bacterium partial 16S ribosomal RNA
Rfam family: Bacterial small subunit ribosomal RNA
Source: RNAcentral